GCGAAUAGCUCAGUUGGUUAGAGCAACAGACUGAUAAUCUGCUUGUCGAAGGUUCGACUCCUUCUUCGUUCCA
This 73-nucleotide transfer RNA is filed under the name Hyphomicrobiales bacterium. RNAcentral describes it as "Rhizobiales bacterium (stromatolite metagenome) tRNA-Ile". It matches the Rfam family "tRNA". Rfam says of the family: Transfer RNA (tRNA) molecules are approximately 80 nucleotides in length. Their secondary structure includes four short double-helical elements and three loops (D, anti-codon, and T loops). The record is from RNAcentral. Lineage: Bacteria; Pseudomonadati; Pseudomonadota; Alphaproteobacteria; Hyphomicrobiales.